AAUAUUGGACAAUGGGGGCAACCUUGAUCCAUCCAUGCCGCGUGCGUGAAGAUGGCCUUAGGGUUGUAAAGCGUUUUCACUGGUGAAGAUGAUGACGGUAGCCAGAGAAGAAGCCCCGAUAACUCCGUGCCAGCAGCCGCGGUAAUACGGAGGGGGCAAGCGUUGUUCGGAAUUACUGGGCGUAAAGGGCGCGUAGGCGGGAUGUCAAGUUAGGGGUGAAAGGCCUGGGCUCAACCCAGGAACUGCCUCUAAAACUGGCAAUCUAGAGUCCGGGAGAGGAUGGCGGAAUUCCCAGUGUAGAGGUGAAAUUCGUAGAUAUUGGGAAGAACACCAGUGGCGAAGGCGGCCAUCUGGUCCGGCACUGACGCUGAGGCGCGAAAGCGUGGGGAGCAAACAGGAUUAGAUACCCUGGUAGUCCACGCCGUA
Molecule: ribosomal RNA, 426 nt
Filed under: uncultured marine bacterium
Lineage: Bacteria
Description: bacterial SSU rRNA
Rfam family: Bacterial small subunit ribosomal RNA
Source: RNAcentral